GUAAUUAUUAUAUGUAUAAUAUGCAAAUAUUUUAUGAUUGUUUUUACACUACAAAUAACAUUUAUACCAUACAUUAGGUUCGUUCCAAGACGACACAUUUGUACGAUCCCUUGAACCGCCACGAAAUCGAUUGGACUGUUUUAAUGCGCAGAAUCGCCCUUGAACGGUUUUCUUUCGAUCUCGAUCGGAUUACCGGUACGUAACCCUCUUGGAACGAAUUCGUGUACCAUUUCAAGUUCGAGUUGCGCCUGAGCCAUUUUCAGUGCGAGUACCACUGUACCACUAGUAGUUUGCUAGAUGGUUAUGGUUAAAAAUUAAUAUUUCUAAUGUCCACUUUACAUCAACAAUAAAUUGAAUAAGAAAUUGACAAAGUUAUUCAAUACCAAAUUUGACGAGUACAAAAUGUAUGGUUUGUAAAAGAAAGUGAAAUAAUUUGAUGAAAUAGAACAAUUGGAUAUGUUUUAUUUUGUCAAUUUUCUUUUUAUUCACGGCAAAAUUGGAUGUAGAAUUGUGUUUUGUAUAAGCCAAAUUUGACCUUAAAUAACUUUGUCAAUUUCUUGUUCAAUUUAUUGUUGAUGUAAAGUGGACUUAACAUGUUCAUUAAACAUCACUUCAGCUUCAAAACCUUCCCCAGAAUCGAUAUCUGACAUUAAAUCGUUGUCUUCUAUGAAAAAAGAAAAUAAUAAAUUAUCCAUUUUUAUAAGAUUAAUUUGAAAAAAAAAAGAAUUAAUAAUUAUUUAAACGGAAAUCAAGAUUCACAGGUACUAAUAGCGUAAAUUGUGGAUUAUUCUAUUAUUGAAUCAUCAGCUGAUCUCAUAGCAGUGACCAGUAAAAAUAAAAACAAUCCUAACUGCGCAAGUCAGUACAAAUAGUUUCUGCUUGAAGGGAGAGAUUAAAUAUCCAGCACGCAACCGCGCUGUUGCCAGAUUUACAUAUUUUCUAUUAGCGGGAAUUUUAAAAUCUCGAAUGCGAGUUGGUUUAAAAUUUGACAGUUGUGUUUUCUCGAAUCGGAAUCUUAACCUUACUUUUGUGAUUAUUUAUUUACAAAUAUGUAAAUAAAUUCAAACAAGUAUUGUAUGUACCUACUGUGUUAUAAUUUAAAACUCUUAAUUAUGUUAGUCUUUAAAAAAAAUGAAGCCCACAAAAAUACACUUGUUUACAGUGCAAAUGAUUUUUUAAUGGAAAUAGGGAUUUAGGAUUUCAUUUGCAGGAAAAACAUGGGCAACCUACCCAGUUCGUAAAAUUGCAAUUCAAAAACUCUUUAGAUUUUACUGUCUGGAUGGCACAGGAAGAGACACAAAAUAAUAUUCAGUACUGCAGUCACAGGAGUACAUAGAGUACGUAGAGAUAUAAGAAAACAGCUGUUCAACAUCACCUGACACCGUUUAGUUUUUAGAAAAUGAAAAGUCUUUAGGUUGAAUGCGAUCUGCAGUAUCUUGCAUUGCUACAUAAUGAAUGUGUUUAUAUAUGGUAUUUUUUAUUGAAUAAUCUAUACAGGAACAACUAAAUGAAUGUAUACAUAUAUUGCAGACAUUGCAUUUAGUUUUUUAGAGCAGCAAGUUUUUUUGUGUUUCAACAAGGUAUUCAGUUUUUUUUUUCUUUUAGUAUAUACACAUUAUUAUCUUGUAAAAUAGCAAGCUAAUACAGUUCGGUAUCUAGACGUUAUGGAGCAUUCAACAGGUUUACCUUUUUUAAGCUUUAUAACCCUUUCAACAGUUUUAUUCCUUAAAAACAAUAACAACUGAUUUUCAAUGGUCAUAUUAUUGGUAUUUUAAUUCCAUAAUCCUUCCUAUAACAAUAGGUGCAUUGUUGGAAGUUAUUACAGUAGUUCUGCUGGAAAUACUUACCAAAAUUGUAUGUAUCUGCAUCAUUUAGAAUUUUACCCAAACACCUAUUAAUACUCUAUCUGAAUCUAACAUGUAUUGCAGCUCUUUCAAUGUCUUGUAUACAUAGGAUUUUUUCAGAAUCAGAUAUUUCAUUAAGAUUUACUUGCCAUGCCUUGUCUAUGUACCAGGGACAUAACAGUCUAUUAGGAACAGAACCCAUUACAUUCAGGCAUUGUAAAAAGUGUUAGUUAUGUCUGAUAUGAAAACAUUUGACUAUAUAAUACCAGCACACUCAUGUAUUUUUUCAAAAAAAGUUGGUAAAUAAAAGUAUUUUUUAUGAGCCCAUGAGUUCCAUUAGUUGCGAUAAGCGAUUUACCAAACUUAAUUAAUAUUUCCUUUUGCACAGUAUUCAUGGAAACACAUAAGACAAAAAUCAUUAUUGUUUAAUUCGGGAGGAUUAUCAAUAAUUGAAUCGUUUAUUUCAGAAAGGGGUCAAGUCACAAGUAUCCACUUUUGAGAAAAUAAAGUUUACACACUGUUUACAUUCAACAAACAAUCACAUUAUAUAAAAUAAAAAUUCUACCUAGCAACCUGGAGUAUUUGUUAAAAAAUGUUGUAUUUUUUAAAAAUGUAUCUUGUUAAAUUGUUUAAGAAAAAAAAUUAAUUUUUUGCACUCAUUUUGUCAAGAUUUGUCACUUGACCUCUUUCUGAAAUAAACGAUUCAAUUAGUAUGCCCUGUUGUUUGUAAAAUAAUAUUGGACAUAACCCGGUCUGUAAGCAUUCACUUACCCACAAAUGAACACUGGUUGCGUUAUCUUUGUGCCUACAUCCAUCUUUCAAAUCAACGUCAUAGGAGUGUUUAAUGUUCGUGUUAUCUUUUCUUGUAAGUAAAUCAACUCUCAAUAAUAUUUAAAAAAUGGAUUAGUGGUAACAUUUUUAUUUUAAAUUAUAUUGUGUAUAUGUAAAUAUUUUACUUACAUUUUUGAAUAUGCCCAUAAUGUGUUUUAAAAUAUGUUACUUUUAUGUAUUGUAAUAUUCCUGCACAACAAUCAGUUUAAAUAUUUUUAGAUAUUAGUAUUUGAUUAGUACACGAAAUGCAGAGAUGUUCUCUCUUCUAUCUUAAGAGCUGAUUUAAUCUCUACUUGUAUCUGUAAAGUUUAUCAUUUUUUCCCAUAGACAAUUUCAACACUUCCGGUUCCUCAGCGUCUAUAUCCAAACCUGUUACGAUGACAUAAUCAUAUUUCUCUUCUCUUUCUCUAGGUAAUCUAGUCUAGUAAUUAAUUCUCGAACUGUCUUGUUUGUAUUAAAUAUCUUAAUUAUGUACUUAUUUUAUUUUUAUAAUGAAAAUUAAUAAAUCAACCAUAUGCGGCACAGGAUCCAAAUGUUUUCGGAAAUAUAUCUAUAAAAAUUUAAUUACCUCUUUUGUAUACGACAUAUCGAUACAUUUUUGGCAAAGUAGCGUAAGUGACAUUUUUGAAAAUCAUGUUUUUCCCAUUAAACUAACGCUAUUAUUGUUCAGAAGGUACUGCCAAAGUGUAGUAAGCCUAUACAUAUAUAUUAUGUUUAAAGUAAUUCUAGGCUUACUACACUUUGGUAGUAACUUCUAAACAAUAAUAGUGUUAGUUUAAUGGAAAAACAUGUUUUUCCCCAAAAAUGUCACUUACGUUACUUUGCCAAAAAUAUAUCGAUAUAAUAUAAUAAGUAAAAACUAUUUUUAUAGCUAGGAAUUACUUUAUUGAACAGUCUUAACCUUCGGAUGACCAAGCGGGGGAAAUUGUGACCCCAGCUUAUGUUUUUCUUUAAUAAAUUCAAAAGUAUUUUCAAUUUUUAACUCAUUAUUUUUUUAUUUGACUUUAAUAUCAUUCUAGAUAUCCUCAUAUUUUGAAAUAAAAAGAAUUCCCUAUAUUUUACGAAUAAAAAAUAUAUUCUGAAGUUGAUGUUUAGUAAAAUAGCGUCUAUUAUGUGUAAUUCCAAGUAGUGUUACGCUAAUGACGUCGACUUUGCAAAGUAACAAGGCACUUACUCAACAUACACACUACACAUGACACUAAUACUCAUGUUGUGACUGGCUGAAUGACAUAAAGUCCAUGCCAUAAAAAAAAUUUAAAAAAAAUUAAAAAAAACUUCAUUUUUUUGUUAAAUGUUAUUUUUGACCAUUUCCCCCCCCCCCCCUUGGUCAUCCGUGUAACAAAAAAAAGGUUGGUCAUCGGAAGGUUAAACCUGUUCAUAAAUUUUGUUACUAUAUUUUUUAACUCCGAUUAUAACAAUAAUAACUUUUUAGUUUAGAUUUAGGUCAAAGUGUGUAAUGUCAUGUUUUAUGUAUAGUAUUUUUACUACAAAAGCGAUAUUACGUAGGUCAAAAUUUUUGACGUAAGAGAACUGUCAAAACAUUAGAAUGUGACUUUUCAUUAUUGUCAUUUUAUUAUAAACAUGGCAAUAAUGAAAAGUCACAAUCUGAUGUUUUGACAGUUAUCUUACGUCAAAAAUUUUAACCUACGUAAUAUCGCUUUUGUAGUAAAAAUACUAUAUUUUUUAGCCCUAACACAUUUGUAGGUAGCAAAUCAUAUUUGUUAUUCUUAUCUUAUUUUAAUUAUAUUCAUUUUUUUGAUUUAACGAAAUAAACCUAUCAAUAAAAAAACUGUUGUUUAGUUGUGUACACCCAAAAACUAACUUGAUGUAAUACAGAUGUCAAUUGAAUAUGACGUAAAUACAUGUCAUAAAGAUGUCUUACGUCACAAAAUUACCACAAUAAAACGUUGCCACUAAUUGCUCAAUUUAAUGUCAUUCAAGUUAGAUGUGAUGAAUAGGGCUUUUUAUUCACAGUCAUUUGUUUUGAGCUUCUGUCAUGUGUCACAUAAUAUUAAUAUAUAUACGUCAUACGUUAUUGGUAAUACCAAUGAUACAAAUCAAAGACGUAUGGCGUAAAUAUAUUAAUAUUGUAUGACACAUGACAGGAGCUCGAAACAAAUGACAAUCGAUGAAAAGCCCUAUUGAUGGCAAAUUGGUCAUUAAACCUGACAUCAUAUUUUGGUCAUGUUUAGGUCUCCUACCAAUUAAGACUAAAAAAACAUGUCAUUUAGACUUCACUCUGUUGGCUGGUCAGUUAAAGGAUUUGAAAUAUAUGGAUUACUGAAUUUUAAAGAAAGCUGCAUUAAAUAUAAUGAAAAAAGACAACCUAUGACAAUAAAACAUUAAUUGUUAGUCUUUGUUCUGCUCAUACUUAACAUAAUCGUCCUAUUUGAAGUCCACAUACUGUGUAAUAAAACUUAAAGCCACUUUGUGGGCGUUUUUGACAUUUUCAUAAUUGUCUUUAAUAGUAAAAUGUAUGUGUAACACAAUAGAUGUAAAAUUAUUAUUAUUAACACAUUUACGGACACGCUUUGCCUGUAGCCACGUCUUCUUAUGGAGCAAAUGACUUCAUAUGCAGUCGUGUCUGUGAAUGUGUUAAAUAAUUAACAGAAAAAAUUAUUUUAAUUGCUUUAGCUUUCAAUAUAAACCACAAUAAUACCACCAUUAAUUUUUAAGUAUAUUAUGUAAGAAAAUAGAAUUUACCUAAUAACUCACCUCGCCGCCAGGUAAAGUAAAGGUGCUACGUCACUGAAAUGUUUUUUCAUUUUGAUUUAUUUUGUUGCUUUAGUUAGCAGAUACAUGAUGGGAAUUAUUCAUACAAUACAUAUUAAUACUAUUAAAACUAAUACAUAUUAAUACUAUUAAAACUAAUACAUAUUAAUAUUCUAAAUAAUUAUUUAAUACUAAAAUAAAGAAAAAUGUCUAUCUAUACUACAUUAAUUGAGACAUUUUCACUUUUCUUUUCGCAGGAUCCUCGGGAUUUUAAAGCUGUGUCUCUAUCUUUAUCUUGUUUUGUACAAUAAUUAUUGUUUGAGAAUGGCAUACAUACAUAAUAAGAUGCUUCAUGUUUUUGUACUCCUGUGACUGCAGUACUGAAUAUUAUUUUGUUUCUCUUCCUGUGCCAUCCACACAGUAAAAUCUACAAAAACAACAGAUGAUUACAUGGGAAGUUAUACCAGUCUAUAUUCCUUGGUUAUACCACAGUAUAGGAGGAAUUCCUCCUAGGCUGUGGUUAUACUACUUAUAGCUUACUUUUAUCUAAUAUCUACCUACAUAAAACUACCUUUGAUAUCAACAUCAACCUUAAUACUUAAAAAAUAAAUAAUAAUGUGGAAGUUAUUCCAUACCUACCUAAAGAGUUUUUGAAUUGAAAUUUUACCAACUGGGUAGGUUGCCCAUGUUUUUCCUGCAAAUGAAAUCGUAAAUCCCUAUUGCCAUUAAUUUGCACUGUAAACAAGUAUAUCUCUUUUGGGCUUAAUCUUUUUAGGACUAACAUAAUUAAGCGUUUUAAAUUAUAACACAGUACAUACAAUACUUGUUUUAAUUUAUUUACAUUUGUAAAUAAAUAAUCACAAAAGUAAGGUUAAGAUUCGGAUGUCAAAUUUUAAACCAAUUCGCAUUAGAAAUUUUAAAAUUCCCGCUAUGUAAAUCUGGCAACAGCGCGGUUGCGUGCUGGAUAUUUAAUCUCUCCCCUGCUUGAAGGCAUGUAUCAAAAGGGCCGUUCUUAAGUGCACUUUAAGUCCACUUUACAUCAACAAUAAAUUGGACAAGAAAUUGACCAAGUUAUUCAAGGCCAAAUUUGACGUGUAAAAGCACACUUUGACAUCUAAGUUUGUUCGUUAUAAACUUCACGUGAAGAAAUUGACGAAAAAGAAAAUUGUUCUAUUUUUUUCAUUUUAUUUGGCGUGAAUUCAGUGUCACCAACCUGUGUCCAUUUGGCGGGAAGUGGAAGUAGAGCUUUUUGUUUAUUAUUAUUUGUUGAGGUUGAGUCUUUCAUGUUCAUGACCCUAACAACACACAACAUUCCAGGAAUGUACUACCAAAGUUCUAUCAAUAUUUGAAUGUCCUGGACAUUUAGGGAACAUUCGGUGAACAUCUGUUUAAAUUAUUCCUGGAAUGUUACCAUAAGACAUUCUGUGAACAUACUACCAAUGUUCCUAUAUUUUAAGUUGCGAAAUAAUACAUACGUGUAAGAGAUACAACAUUACUUAUAACAUACCAGACAAACUAAGUGACAUUUUAGGCCUACAGUGCAAUAAUAUGUCAAAUUUAAAGAGUUUCCCAAGAUUAUAAACAUACAAAUGUAAUAAAAAUUAUUGUUCGCGAAUAUUCAAUUUGGAAUGCGAUUUUGUUAAUAAAAAAAAUACUUAUAACUUAUGCAAAACCCAAGAGAGGCAUUUAUAUUUAUUUCUUUUGCGUUCAUUUUCAAAUUCGCCGUGCAUAUAUUUUUGUGCAUGGCGCUUGAGAGGGCAUCACGUGACUAAAAACGACCAACCAACGACCUCGCUUCGGCCAUCUUGGCAUCUUCAUCUUGGCGACCUUGCCUUGCCGUGGAUUGUUUUUAGUUGUUUGUAUUAUUUGUGCUUUGUAAGAAUAUUUUUUUAAUUCGGAUACUUUUAUAAUAGCUUUAAUAGUAUUAUUAACAUAGUGCAUAAAAUGGUGUCCUGUUUUUAACGCAGUUGGAGUAGCAGAAACAAAUGUAGAUAAAAAAAUCUGCAGGAAUAACGUUUCAAUUAUGACAGAAGCUCAAAACAAAUGACUGUGAAUGAAAAGCCCUAUUAAAAGCUUUCCAGAAGAUCCUGCGAAGAAGACAUGAAGUAUAGAUCAGAUUUGUUAAUAGAGGAGUAUGUUCAAAACACUUUUUAGAAAAAGAUAUUGACAGAACUUCACUUUCAUCUGUUCGUUUGAGAGACUGUGCUGUUCCAAUAGCUUAUGUCACACAGAAUCAGCUGAGAGAAGUGGUCUACAAAAAACCAGAAAGGAAACGGAAUAUGUGGCUACGAAAAGCAAAAGAAAGGUUUACAAAGCAAAUGUGACACAUUUUUUUAUAAUAUUUAGGAAUGUCAGCAAAUUACAUUAAAAAAU
Molecule: long non-coding RNA, 7760 nt
Filed under: Diabrotica virgifera virgifera (western corn rootworm)
Lineage: Eukaryota; Metazoa; Arthropoda; Insecta; Coleoptera; Chrysomelidae
Description: uncharacterized LOC126891757
Source: RNAcentral